Molecule: ribosomal RNA, 757 nt
Filed under: Glomeromycotina sp. OTU9 DJMC-2012
Lineage: Eukaryota; Fungi; Glomeromycota
Description: eukaryotic LSU rRNA
Rfam family: Eukaryotic large subunit ribosomal RNA
Source: RNAcentral
GCGGAGGAAAAGAAAAUAACAAUGAUUCCCUUAGUAACUGCGAGUGANGGGGGAAAAGCUCAAAUUUUAAAUCUGUUAGGUUAUACCUGACCGAGUUGUAAUUUGAAGAGGCGUUUUCUGAGGGUUUGAUCAGUCCAAGUCCUUUGGGAUAAGGCAUCAUGGAGGGUGAGAAUCCCGUUCGGUUGAUCAGAACUUCUUUACGAUACGUCAUCAAAGAGUCAAGUUGUUUGGGAUUGCAGCUUAAAAUGGGAGGUAAAUUUCUCCUAAGGCUAAAUAACGGCGAGAGACCGAUAGCGAACAAGUACCGUGAGGGAAAGAUGAAAAGAACUUUGAAAAGAGAGUUAAACAGUACGUGAAAUUGUUGAAAGGGAAACGAUUGAAGCCAGUCGUACCGGCGGGUAAUCAGCCUUUUGGGUGUGAUUAUGUGGAGCGUGAGGAGUUAAUCACCCUCAUCUUUGCAUAUUCGUGCACUUUGGGUGUACUUGCUCGUGUGGUAGGUUAACAUCAAUUUUGAUCGUCAUAAAAUGAUUGGAGGAAUGUAGCUUCGAUCUCGUAUUGAAGUGUUAUAGCCUUCGGUAGAUGUGAUGAUUGGGAUUGAGGAUUGCAACGGAUACCCUUCGGGGCUACCUGUCUGAUCUCUGAAAGUUGCUCUGGUGCUGAAAGCUUGCUUAUGGUAUCAAAGUUGACGUUCAACAGGUUAGAACGGGAUAANUUCGUNAAGGAUGUUGACGUAAUGGCUUUAAACGACCCGUCUUGA